This 1335-nucleotide ribosomal RNA is filed under the name Chryseobacterium sp. Its description in RNAcentral is "bacterial SSU rRNA". It matches the Rfam family "Bacterial small subunit ribosomal RNA", at positions 110 to 1460 of the family's 1533-position model. Lineage: Bacteria; Pseudomonadati; Bacteroidota; Flavobacteriia; Flavobacteriales; Weeksellaceae. The record is from RNAcentral.
GGAACACGUGUGCAACCUGCCUUUAUCUGGGGGAUAGCCUUUCGAAAGGAAGAUUAAUACCCCAUAAUAUACUGAAUGGCAUCAUUCGGUAUUGAAAACUCCGGUGGAUAGAGAUGGGCACGCGCAAGAUUAGAUAGUUGGUGAGGUAACGGCUCACCAAGUCUACGAUCUUUAGGGGGCCUGAGAGGGUGAUCCCCCACACUGGUACUGAGACACGGACCAGACUCCUACGGGAGGCAGCAGUGAGGAAUAUUGGACAAUGGGUGAGAGCCUGAUCCAGCCAUCCCGCGUGAAGGACGACGGCCCUAUGGGUUGUAAACUUCUUUUGUAUAGGGAUAAACCUACCCUCGUGAGGGUAGCUGAAGGUACUAUACGAAUAAGCACCGGCUAACUCCGUGCCAGCAGCCGCGGUAAUACGGAGGGUGCAAGCGUUAUCCGGAUUUAUUGGGUUUAAAGGGUCCGUAGGCGGAUCUGUAAGUCAGUGGUGAAAUCUCACAGCUUAACUGUGAAACUGCCAUUGAUACUGCAGGUCUUGAGUGUUGUUGAAGUAGCUGGAAUAAGUAGUGUAGCGGUGAAAUGCAUAGAUAUUACUUAGAACACCAAUUGCGAAGGCAGGUUACUAAGCAACAACUGACGCUGAUGGACGAAAGCGUGGGGAGCGAACAGGAUUAGAUACCCUGGUAGUCCACGCCGUAAACGAUGCUAACUCGUUUUUGGAAUGUAAGUUUCAGAGACUAAGCGAAAGUGAUAAGUUAGCCACCUGGGGAGUACGAACGCAAGUUUGAAACUCAAAGGAAUUGACGGGGGCCCGCACAAGCGGUGGAUUAUGUGGUUUAAUUCGAUGAUACGCGAGGAACCUUACCAAGGCUUAAAUGGGAAAUGACAGGUUUAGAAAUAGACUUUUCUUCGGACAUUUUUCAAGGUGCUGCAUGGUUGUCGUCAGCUCGUGCCGUGAGGUGUUAGGUUAAGUCCUGCAACGAGCGCAACCCCUGUCACUAGUUGCCAUCAUUAAGUUGGGGACUCUAGUGAGACUGCCUACGCAAGUAGAGAGGAAGGUGGGGAUGACGUCAAAUCAUCACGGCCCUUACGCCUUGGGCCACACACGUAAUACAAUGGCCGGUACAGAGGGCAGCUACACUGCGAAGUGAUGCAAAUCUCGAAAGCCGGUCUCAGUUCGAUUGGAGUCUGCAACUCGACUCUAUGAAGCUGGAAUCGCUAGUAAUCGCGCAUCAGCCAUGGCGCGGUGAAUACGUUCCCGGGCCUUGUACACACCGCCCGUCAAGCCAUGGAAGUCUGGGGUACCUGAAGUCGGUGACCGUAACAGGAGCUGCCUAG